GAUGAACGCUAGCGGCAGGCUUAAUACAUGCAAGUCGAACGGUAGAAGUCUCUUCGGAGGCUUUGAGAGUGGCGCACGGGUGCGUAACGCGUAUGCAACCUGCCUUCAGUUGGGGGAUAGCCCGGGGAAACCCGGAUUAAUACCGCAUAAUACAGGGGCCCCGCAUGGGGAUAUUUGUUAAAGAUUUAUCGACUGAAGAUGGGCAUGCGUCUGAUUAGCUAGUUGGUGAGGUAAUGGCUCACCAAGGCGACGAUCAGUAGGGGAUCUGAGAGGAUGGCCCCCCACACUGGUACUGAGAUACGGACCAGACUCCUACGGGAGGCAGCAGUAAGGAAUAUUGGACAAUGGGCGGAAGCCUGAUCCAGCCAUGCCGCGUGCAGGAAGACGGCCCUAUGGGUUGUAAACUGCUUUUGUAAGGGAAUAAUAAGGCGAACGAGUUUCGCUGAUGAAGGUACCUUACGAAUAAGCAUCGGCUAACUCCGUGCCAGCAGCCGCGGUAAUACGGAGGAUGCAAGCGUUAUCCGGAUUUAUUGGGUUUAAAGGGUGCGUAGGCGGCCUUUUAAGUCAGGGGUGAAAUGUUGCGGCUUAACCGCAGAAUUGCCUUUGAUACUGGGAGGCUUGAAUGAAGUUGAGGUAGGCGGAAUGUGGCAAGUAGCGGUGAAAUGCAUAGAGAUGCCACAGAACACCGAUUGCGAAAGGCAGCUUACUAAGCUUUGAUUGACGCUGAGGCACGAAAGCGUGGGGAUCAAACAGGAUUAGAUACCCUGGUAGUCCACGCAGUAAACGAUGAGAACUAGCUGUUGGCGAUAGAAUGUCAGCGGCACAGCGAAAGCGUUAAGUUCUCCACCUGGGGAGUACGACCGCAAGGUUGAAACUCAAAGGAAUUGACGGGGGCCCGCACAAGCGGAGGAGCAUGUGGUUUAAUUCGAUGAUACGCGAGGAACCUUACCUGGGCUUGAAAGUGAGUGACCGGCGCUGAAAGGCGCCUUCCCUUCGGGGCACAAAACUAGGUGCUGCAUGGCUGUCGUCAGCUCGUGCCGUGAGGUGUUGGGUUAAGUCCCGCAACGAGCGCAACCCCUAUCAUCAGUUGCCAUCAGGUAAAGCUGGGGACUCUGGUGAGACUGCCUGCGCAAGCAGUGAGGAAGGCGGGGACGACGUCAAGUCAUCAUGGCCCUUACGUCCAGGGCUACACACGUGCUACAAUGGCAGCUACAGAGGGCCGCGACCGUGCAAACGGGAGCUAAUCUCAAAAAGGUUGUCACAGUUCGGAUUGAGGUCUGCAACUCGACCUCAUGAAGUUGGAUUCGCUAGUAAUCGCGUAUCAGCAAUGACGCGGUGAAUACGUUCCCGGGCCUUGUACACACCGCC
Molecule: ribosomal RNA, 1368 nt
Filed under: uncultured bacterium
Lineage: Bacteria
Description: bacterial SSU rRNA
Rfam family: Bacterial small subunit ribosomal RNA
Source: RNAcentral